RNAcentral lists this microRNA precursor (97 nucleotides) under Ailuropoda melanoleuca (giant panda). RNAcentral describes it as "mir-544 microRNA precursor family". It matches the Rfam family "mir-544 microRNA precursor family". The record is from Rfam by way of RNAcentral. Lineage: Eukaryota; Metazoa; Chordata; Mammalia; Carnivora; Ursidae.
AUCACCUAGGGAUCUUGUUGAAAUGCAGGUUCUGAUUCUGGGGGUCUGGGGUGGGGCCUGGGAUUCUGCAUUUUGAACAAGUUCCCAUGGAUGCCAG